GGAAAAGAAACCAACAGGGAUUGCUCUAGUAACGGCGAGUGAAGCAGCAAUAGCUCAAAUUUGAAAUCUGGCGUCUUCGACGUCCGAGUUGUAAUUUGUAGAGGAUGCUUCUGAGUAACCACCGACCUAAGUGCCUUGGAACAGGACGUCAUAGAGGGUGAGAAUCCCGUAUGCGGUCGGAAAGUGCUCUACACGUAGCUCCUUUGACGAUUCGAGUUUUUUGGGAAUGCAGCUCUAAAUGGGAGGUAAAUUUCUUCUAAAGCUAAAUAUGGGCCAGAGACCGAUAGCGCACAAGUAGAGUGAUCUGAAAGAUGAAAAGCAUCUUUGGAAAGAGAUGUUAAAAAGCACGUGAAAUUUGUUAAAAGGGAAGGGAUUGCAACCAGACUUGCUCGCGGUGUUCCGCCGGUCUUCUGACCGGUCUACUCGCCGCGUUGCAGGCCAGCAUCGUCUGGUGCCGCUGGAUAAGACUUGAGGAAUGUAGCUCCCUCGGGAGUGUUAUAGCCUCUUGUGAUGCAGCGAGCGCCGGGCGAGGUCCGCGCUUCGGCUAGGAUGCUGGCGUAAUGGUCGUAAUCCGCCCGUCU
This 581-nucleotide ribosomal RNA is filed under the name Cladosporium sp. CBMAI 859. RNAcentral's name for it is "eukaryotic LSU rRNA". It matches the Rfam family "Eukaryotic large subunit ribosomal RNA", at positions 55 to 654 of the family's 3401-position model. Lineage: Eukaryota; Fungi; Ascomycota; Dothideomycetes; Cladosporiales; Cladosporiaceae. The record is from RNAcentral.